AAUAAGAUAGGAUAAAUAAGUCUGUUAGGUUCAUACCCUAAAGGUGAAAUGUCUCUUAUUAU
Molecule: transfer RNA, 62 nt
Filed under: Macropostrongyloides baylisi
Lineage: Eukaryota; Metazoa; Nematoda; Chromadorea; Rhabditida; Strongylidae
Description: tRNA-Met
Source: RNAcentral